Molecule: unclassified non-coding RNA, 335 nt
Filed under: soil metagenome
Description: partial contains 5.8S ribosomal RNA, internal transcribed spacer 2, and large subunit ribosomal RNA
Rfam family: 5.8S ribosomal RNA (bases 1-120)
Source: RNAcentral
GAUGAAGAACGUAGCGAAAUGCGAUAAGUAGUGUGAAUUGCAGAAUUCAGUGAAUCAUCGAAUCUUUGAACGCACAUUGCGCCCUUUGGUAUUCCUUAGGGCAUGCCUGUUCGAGCGUCAUUUAAACCUUCAAGCUCAGCUUGGUGAUGGGUGACUGUCCUCCCCUCGCGGGGGGACUCGCCUCAAAAACAUUGGCGGCCGGUACAUUGGCUUCGAGCGCAGCAGAAACGCGGUCUCGAGUCCGGUGGAUCGGCUCCCAUAAGUCUAUUCUUUUAUUUUGACCUCGGAUCAGGUAGGGAUACCCACUGAACUUAAGCAUAUCAAUAAGCGGAGGA